UAUUUAAGGUGUUUCCGCGAUGCUACCUCCAUUAGCAGCUAGCAUUAAAGCAGUUCGGGUACCAUUUGUUUUACUCCUGUUUUAUAUUAGGUAUAAGAAUAUAUGGAAUAUAAAUGUAAAAAUUUGUUGCAGAAACUUAAGUCAUAACUUAACCAGUGACUAAGAAUGGCAUUAAAUUGUAAAGGCGUAUUUUUCCUUGAUCUAAUCCAAAAGGCUCGUUUUGUUUUUUCUGUUUUUCAUCCAUAGAUUGUCUCCCAGCAGCAGGAAUCAGCUCCCAAGGAAGAGAAAAAGGUGUUUAUUAUUAACACUUCCUAUAUUGCGGUAAUGGAGGACGUUCCUCGUCUGUAACCCUAACCCUGCAAGCCUAGAGCCUGGAAGCAUAGAAAAAGAGACCCUGUGAAGAUUCAAAGGCUUGACUCCGAAGAUUUGAACUGGAAUUUCUUCAUCCUUAAAGAUGAUUGAAGAGGUAACAGAGGGUGACUUUUAGCAAGAAUGUGUCUUGCCAACAAAGUUUCUUUAGAACAAGUUAAAGAACUUCAAAACUGUCGCCCUGCAGGCUUCCAUAUAUAGAUAUACUGUCCUUUUUGUGCGGGUCGUAUUACAAUGGAGGUGACCAGACCACCGCAUUGAGCAGACCGUUGAAGUGAAAUGAGUCGUACGUUCUGGACAGUGUGAACAACUUGAAAACGUCAGGAAGACUUAAAACUUGGGCAAUCAUCUGUGCUGCUUUUUUUAUUGCUGGCUGUUCCUUGAUUCUUGGUGUUCUUGUUGCGGUUUGUCAAAGGCGAUUACAGGUUCAGGGGUUUUCUUGCAUCAGCAGCCAGCACACAUUCAGCGUUUAGCUUUUUUAACCAGGACGGUUUUGUGAUGCAGAAAGUCUUUGUUUUGGACAGUGUAUUGGACUUUCGAUAAAUAUAUUUCUCAAGAAAUGCUGCAAGGGUGAAUGUAUUUCCCUUAAUGGAAAAUAAAAUAAGUUGGACAUUUUACUGAAGGACAGACGUCAGUGCACAGUAUUUAAAAUUAUUUAAAAUUCAGUUAGACAGUCACAGUGUGGCCUGUUGAGCAAUAUAUAGGAUCACCAUUUCAAAGCAUUUUUAUGGGCAGUUGUACAGAAAAAAGAAGAUAUCUAGAAGUACGUAUCAAAAAUGUUGCAAAUUAUCACAUUUAAAUGUUGGGGUCACAUGCAUAUUGUUUUUAAAGAUAACAUAUUAAUAUAUGCUUUUAAAUUUUCUAAGUGUGGUACUCCUUUUUAUUUCCAUAUUUAGGCCGUUCCACAACAUAACUUCUGCUUGGCUGAGCCCCAGACUUUUAAGUGUGGUGCGAACACCACAGCAUCUUAACACAAAUUCUCUCAAAUUAUAAUUCUCUAAAAAAAAUUUAUGUUGCCAGGAAGUAGAUCAAGUCUUUCUUUGUACACUAAAGCAAGAGUUUUAAAUUUGUGUAAGUCUUGAAUUCUCAUGAUGUGAGAUUUUAGGAAAAGUGCAUUAGUGUGAUCUUUGAAUCCCACAUUAUGGAUGAUUUGUAAAGCUUUUUUCUGAAGUUUGAUAAUUGAAUCUAGAUUAAUAAUAAUUAAACACUAUUGAUCUCACAUUCAAGAAAUGUAUCCCUGCAUUUAACCCAUUCCCUUGGGGAGCUGCUCCCCGGGCUGCCAUUGUGC
Molecule: long non-coding RNA, 1657 nt
Organism: Cyprinodon tularosa
Lineage: Eukaryota; Metazoa; Chordata; Actinopteri; Cyprinodontiformes; Cyprinodontidae
Exons: 5
Source: RefSeq, a predicted model, not a curated record